Molecule: transfer RNA, 73 nt
Filed under: Actinomycetota bacterium
Lineage: Bacteria; Bacillati; Actinomycetota
Description: Actinobacteria bacterium tRNA-Gly
Rfam family: tRNA
About the family: Transfer RNA (tRNA) molecules are approximately 80 nucleotides in length.
Source: RNAcentral
GCGGGUGUAGCUCAGCCGGCAGAGCGUCAGCUUCCCAAGCUGAAGGUCGUGGGUUCGAGACCCAUCACCCGCU